This 253-nucleotide ribosomal RNA is filed under the name uncultured bacterium. Its description in RNAcentral is "partial 16S ribosomal RNA". It matches the Rfam family "Bacterial small subunit ribosomal RNA", at positions 524 to 776 of the family's 1533-position model. The record is from RNAcentral.
GACGGAGGGGGCAAGCGUUGUCCGGACUCACUGGGCGUAAAGGGUGCGUAGGCGGUCCUGUGCGUCGGCGCUGAAAGCGCCCGGCUUAACCGGGCGAGGCGUGCCGAUACGAUGGGACUGGAGCCUCGGAGAGGGUGGGGGAACUCCUGGUGUAGUGGUGAAAUGCGUAGAGAUCAGGAAGAACACCCGUGGCGCAAGCGCCCACCUGGCCGAGAGCUGACGCUGAGGCACGAGAGCGUGGGGAGCGAACCGG